ACAUUGAUUCGUGGUAUAUAGUAUGUUAUUUCUCUUCAAUCUCUCCUCUUUGUCAUUCUCAAAUGCUCCUCCAGGUGCUGAGGACGAUUGGCCGCUUGGGAAUACACCUCAGAACUGGUUCUGGCUUGCGUCGUAAGCCGCUCGUGAGCCUGGUGUGGUUACGGGUUUUAAAGAUCAUCACCUUUUGCUCACAUCUCCUGGGCCCUGUCUCCUGCCCCCUGCCUCCUGCCAUGGCCCUGCUGAUGCCCCUCC
Molecule: long non-coding RNA, 252 nt
Organism: Cyclopterus lumpus (lumpfish)
Lineage: Eukaryota; Metazoa; Chordata; Actinopteri; Perciformes; Cyclopteridae
Exons: 3
Source: RefSeq, a predicted model, not a curated record